Cyanistes caeruleus (blue tit) is the source of this 410-nucleotide non-coding RNA. Lineage: Eukaryota; Metazoa; Chordata; Aves; Passeriformes; Paridae. The record is from RefSeq and is a predicted model, not a curated record.
UCUGCACUGCCUUAUCUGACCCUUUAGGACUCUACCCAGGCAGACCAUGUGCAUUUUUAUUUUAAAAAUGGGAACAAGUUCAAAAUCAUCUUUCUUUUUAGUCUUUGCUCUUAUUACUUCCUGCUUCCUUCACUUCCAGGACCGAGUUUUCCAAGGACACUGUUCACACACCACCUUUGCUCCUUUACCUUUGGGCUCCCCAUGGAGUGGCAAUGUUUCCAUCACUCAAAUAUAUCUCUCUAUUGCACCACUAACUGUGAAGACCUUAACGUAGAAUAUAUUUCCAGUUUUGGGUGCUGCCCUCAGGAAUGAGGUGAAACCAACGUCUGAAACUUUGGAAGGAACAAAUGAAAGGAUUAGGCUCCUGAAAAAGGAAUGUUGAGUUCCAAAGGUCUUUAAUUCCACCUUCU